Rosa rugosa (rugosa rose) is the source of this 636-nucleotide long non-coding RNA. RefSeq lists it as uncharacterized. The record is from RefSeq and is a predicted model, not a curated record. The transcript is spliced from 2 exons. Lineage: Eukaryota; Viridiplantae; Streptophyta; Magnoliopsida; Rosales; Rosaceae.
UGAAAUUGAAUGUCUCAUGACCUAUGAGGCUCAUCACUCAUCAUGCUGUGCUCUAUCAACUUAUGCAAAACUUCCAGAUAGUUACAUAUUUCUGCUACAAUGGGACAUUUAAAGCUUCCAUGUGGCAGUUGUAACAAAUUUUUUCUCAUAGCUGGAAUAGUGCUCGAUUCCAUAACACAAUGUCAUGGGUUAUCAAUGAGAGCCAAUAAGAAGGCCACUCUUUGCCAUUCUCAUUCUCCUAACUACCAUCAUAAAUGGGCAAGUGAGAAACACAGCUAAGCGAAGGCUUUGUUUUCUUCUUUGCUACUUGUUACCUCUAUAUAUACCAUUUCAUGGUGGCCUUUGAAAUUGUUUUGCAAGAACUUCAUAUAAGAAAGAAGCAAUGGAAGGUGCAGCACCAAAUCAAAAGAUGUUAUGCUGUGAUCACGUCCGAAAACGCAAGGAGGAGAAAGGCUUCUUCUCUGCUUGUUUGUUUGCUUUGUUCUGCUGCUGUUGCUGCUAUGGUGGCUGCUGCUGUGGCCCUUAGAUUUCUUGCCAUUGAGUGGGAUCAGUAGAAAUAAAUCCCGGAUGAUAGUUAUGAUGCGAUUGUAAACAAAUUCAUUCGAGUUAAUAAAAUCAUUAUUGUUGUUACUUGCA